Molecule: ribosomal RNA, 474 nt
Filed under: uncultured organism
Description: partial 16S ribosomal RNA
Rfam family: Bacterial small subunit ribosomal RNA
Source: RNAcentral
CACUCCUACGGGAGGCAGCAGUGGGGAAUUUUGGACAAUGGGCGAAAGCCUGAUCCAGCAAUGCCGCGUGAGUGAAGAAGGCCUUCGGGUUGUAAAGCUCUUUUGUCAGGGAAGAAACGGUGAAAGCUAAUAUCUUUUGCUAAUGACGGUACCUGAAGAAUAAGCACCGGCUAACUACGUGCCAGCAGCCGCGGUAAUACGUAGGGUGCAAGCGUUAAUCGGAAUUACUGGGCGUAAAGCGUGCGCAGGCGGUUUUGUAAGUCUGAUGUGAAAUCCCCGGGCUCAACCUGGGAAUUGCAUUGGAGACUGCAAGGCUAGAAUCUGGCAGAGGGGGGUAGAAUUCCACGUGUAGCAGUGAAAUGCGUAGAUAUGUGGAGGAACACCGAUGGCGAAGGCAGCCCCCUGGGUCAAGAUUGACGCUCAUGCACGAAAGCGUGGGGAGCAAACAGGAUUAGAAACCCCAGUAGUCCCAUG